GACGAACGCUGGCGGCGUGCUUAACACAUGCAAGUCGAACGAAGAGCGAUGGAAGCUUGCUUCUAUCAAUCUUAGUGGCGAACGGGUGAGUAACGCGUAAUCAACCUGCCCUUCAGAGGGGGACAACAGUUGGAAACGACUGCUAAUACCGCAUACGAUCUAAUCUCGGCAUCGAGGAUAGAUGAAAGGUGGCCUCUACAUGUAAGCUAUCACUGAAGGAGGGGAUUGCGUCUGAUUAGCUAGUUGGAGGGGUAACGGCCCACCAAGGCGAUGAUCAGUAGCCGGUCUGAGGAGAUGAACGGCCACAUUGGGACUGAGACACGGCCCAGACUCCUACGGGAGGCAGCAGUGGGGAAUCUUCCGCAAUGGACGAAAGUCUGACGGAGCAACGCCGCGUGAGGGAUGACGGCCUUCGGGUUGGAAAGCUCUGUUAAUCGGGACGAAAGGCCUUCUUGCGAAUAGUGAGAAGGAUUGACGGUACCGGAAGAGAAAGCCACGGCUAACUACGUG
Molecule: ribosomal RNA, 510 nt
Filed under: uncultured bacterium
Lineage: Bacteria
Description: partial 16S ribosomal RNA
Rfam family: Bacterial small subunit ribosomal RNA
Source: RNAcentral